This 666-nucleotide ribosomal RNA is filed under the name Alexandrium lusitanicum. RNAcentral describes it as "LSU rRNA". It matches the Rfam family "Eukaryotic large subunit ribosomal RNA", at positions 50 to 648 of the family's 3401-position model. Lineage: Eukaryota; Dinophyceae; Gonyaulacales; Pyrocystaceae. The record is from RNAcentral.
GCGGUGGAAAAUGAACCAAAUGGGAUUCCUUAAGUAAUUGCGAAUGAACAAGGAAAUGCUCAGCUUGAAAAAUGGGGCCUUUGGCUUUGAAUUGUAAUUUUGAAAUGUAUUGCCAAUGGAGGCGCAGGUGCAAGCCUAUUGAAAGAAAGCGUCAAUGAGGGUGAGAUUCCUUUUUGUCAUUUGCAGUCCUCCGUGCACGGUAUAUAUUUGACGAGUCACACUCCUCGGCAUUGGAAUGCAAAGUGGGUGGUAAAUUCCAUGUAAAGGUAAAUAUAUUAUUGAGACUGAUAGCAAACAAGUACCAUGAGGGAAAUAUGAAAAGGACUUUGAAAAGAGAAUUAAAAGAGUCUGCAUUUGCUGAACAGAAAGCAAACAGAAUUGAUUUUACUUGGUGAGAUUGUUGUGCUUACUCUAUCAUUUAUAUGGUUGAUGUGGGUGCGAUGGUUCUUACCUUGAAUGUCAGCUUCUAUUUCUGCAAAUCAUUACCCUUGCACAUGAAUGGUAAUUUGCCUGCGGGUAUUGGAAUGCAUGUGUUUGCAAUGAUUUGUGAUUUGACGCAUGUGUUUGGUGAAAUUUGUAUAUGCUCUUUUGUCGAAGGGGAAAGCUUACUUUUUUGAGCAUUGCAAGCCCUUACACAUCAGUGCUGGCAAAAUGUUUCUGCUUGAC